UACGUAGGGUGCAAGCGUUGUCCGGAAUUAUUGGGCGUAAAGAGCUCGUAGGCGGCUUGUCGCGUCUGCCGUGAAAACCCAGGGCUCAACUCGGGGCGUGCGGUGGGUACGGGCAGGCUAGAGUGCGGUAGGGGAGAGUGGAAUUCCUGGUGUAGCGGUGGAAUGCGCAGAUAUCGGGAGGAACACCGGUGGCGAAGGCGGUUCUCUGGGCCUGACCUGACGCUGAGGAGCGAAAGCGUGGGGAGCGAACAGG
RNAcentral lists this ribosomal RNA (253 nucleotides) under uncultured bacterium. RNAcentral describes it as "partial 16S ribosomal RNA". It matches the Rfam family "Bacterial small subunit ribosomal RNA", at positions 524 to 776 of the family's 1533-position model. The record is from RNAcentral.